CCUACGGGAGGCAGCAGUGAGGAAUAUUGGUCAAUGGGCGCGAGCCUGAACCAGCCAAGUAGCGUGAAGGAUGACUGCCCUACGGGCUGUAAACUUCUUUUAUAAAGGAAUAAAGUGAGGCACGUGUGCCUUUUUGUAUGUACUUUAUGAAUAAGGAUCGGCUAACUCCGUGCCAGCAGCCGCGGUAAUGCGGAGGGUGCGAGAGUUACUCGGAAUUACUGGGUGGAAAGGGCACGUAGGCGGUAUGUCAAGUCAAGGGUGAAAGCCCCGCGCUCAACGUGGGAACUGCCUUUGAAACUGGCAAACUUGAGUGUGUGAGAGGAUAGUGGAAUUCCAGGUGUAGGAGUGAAAUCCGUAGAUAUCUGGAGGAACAUCAGUGGCGAAAGCGACUAGCUGGCACGUAACUGACGCUGAGGAGCGAAAGCGUGGGUAGCAAACAGGAUUAGAUACCCUUGUAGUC
Molecule: ribosomal RNA, 460 nt
Filed under: uncultured bacterium
Lineage: Bacteria
Description: partial 16S ribosomal RNA
Rfam family: Bacterial small subunit ribosomal RNA
Source: RNAcentral